Molecule: long non-coding RNA, 1664 nt
Organism: Astatotilapia calliptera (eastern happy)
Lineage: Eukaryota; Metazoa; Chordata; Actinopteri; Cichliformes; Cichlidae
Source: Ensembl
AAAAGAGAGACGCCACCCACCUGUUCGCCGCUCAGACAUCAGUAUCCUCGUGUCAGGAGCUCCGAAACUCUGCCGACGUCAGUCUCCGCCUGAUUCAGCAACUCUACUCACCAGACUGCUAUGUUCCACCUCUGAAAAUAAUCCUCACCUCAGGAUGCUGGACUUCUCGACAACUUCACAGCUACAGUUCUUGCUCUUUUCACUUGCCUGCCUGCCUCCCUGCCGCAGUAAUUGGAACCACUUGGACCCAACCACUCCACGCUGUUUCUCCACCUGUGGCAAUGACUCUGACCUCCUUGGUUCCCACCUGACUUUCCCUUUGCCUCACAUCACGGGAGCCCAGUCAGAGCAAUGCUCUAAUUAUUCACGUUGUCUGCCUAGCUCCAGUUUUGCUUAGUGUUGUUUAGUAUUUCCCGUUCUUGUCAUAGCUCACGUUGACUUCAUUAUUCAUUAUUCAUUCUUCUAGUUAAAAAUCACUCAUUGUAUUGUCUCACUGCGCUGUAAAUAAAUAUUGUUUCACACAUUUAUCCACACCUCCAUCUGAAUUCAGCACUUGAGUCCUUUUCCUCUGAUUUGGCUGUUUGCCAUGACAGCAUGCAGAAGAGCAUGCAAGCAGCAGAAGACCACACCAGGUUGUACUCCUAAGAACAAGUUGUGCAAAUUCAGAAGCAGAAAACUGGAAAAACAUUACCUCGUCUCAAGAGUCUCCAUUUCUGCUGCGACAUUCAGGUGGUGGGGUCAUAAUUUCAUGUAGACAACAAAAUUCUGACUUUUUUUUUUUUUCUCAGAAUUCUGGAAAGGAAGGAAAAAAAUAAUUUUUUUUUUUUUUUUCCAGUGGCCCUAAUCCUCUUCCGUAGAUUGACUACUUUUUCUUUUCACAUAUUUAUCUAUUGCUAAUACUUGCUGUGUUGUCUCACUCACGGUAACUAUCACGUAAUUUCUUCUUCAUCUUCAGCGAUUUUAAUGGCAACACAUUUAAUUAGAGUAGGUAGUUGUACUGCCCUCUAGUGGAAGAGAAUGUAAUUGUUCUCCCCUUUACUCACGCCGUUACUUAGAGUACUAAUCAGGUGGAACCAGAUAAUCUUCCACAGCACACCUGAUCAUUUCUCACAGCACACCUAUGUGCUGCUGCACAAUAGUUAAUAAUAAUAAUAAUAAUAAUAAUGGAUUGGAUUUAUAUAGUGCUUUUCAAGGCACCCAAAGCGCUUUACAAUGCCACUCACACACUGGUGGAGACAAGCUACGGUUGUAGCCACAGCUGCCCUGGGGCAGACUGACAGAAGCGAGGCUGCCAUAUCGCGCCAUCGGCCCCUCUGGCCGACACCAGUAGGGUAAAGUGUCUUGCCCAAGGACACAGCGACCAGGACAGAGAGCCCGGGCAUCGAACCGGCAACCUUCCGGUUACAGAUACGCUUCCCAACCCCCUGAGCCACGGUCGCCCCAAUAGUUGGGAAACACUGAUAUAGACAACGAGAGCAAGUGGUUCCAGCACCUUCCUGAUGCUGUGCAAUGAAGAACUGAAGCAGUUUGAAAGGCAAAAGAGGGUCCAAAUCAGCAGUGUGACGGUCUACCUUAGAGUGUCUGGUGAGUAUAUAUUGCACAGCACCAAAGCCCUGCAAUAGCCCAGGUUUGGGGAUUUAUUUCCUAGCCAGAAGGCGUUUGAG